Cavia porcellus (domestic guinea pig) is the source of this 687-nucleotide long non-coding RNA. RefSeq lists it as uncharacterized. The transcript is spliced from 2 exons. NCBI's taxonomy places the organism in Eukaryota, Metazoa, Chordata, Mammalia, Rodentia, Caviidae. The record is from RefSeq and is a predicted model, not a curated record.
GAUGAAAGCACCCUGCAAAACUCAGCUCUCCAUUUGGCUCACUGACCCCUGAACUCAAUGUAACUGUGCCUCCAGUGAGUCAAAGCGGCAGGAACCUCGGACGCCUCGGCAAGAUGCGGCGGGACCUCACCAAGUUGCGGUGGGACCUCGGAUGGUCAAUCCGUGCUGGGAAGGCCUAAAGGUCAGCGGUGGAAGCUAGAAAAUCCAUGGCAGCAGGGUGAAGGAGCUGUGCUGGUGGGAUGAGGAUUCUACACUGGAGCCAAGAAGUCACACUCACAACAAAGACCAGGGCUGUCCUGAAAGUACCACAGCCAUCCUCAGCAACACGGAGGCCCCGAGCUCCAACGACGACAAGCACAGUCGGGUACAUGCCAGGAAGCCAGUGUGAUGAGUUCAUCCUGGAGACCAAGCAGCACACAUCUUCCUCUCUGGAACCAGGAAGCAAUGCUCGAUGUGAGGACCAGAGCUUCUCCAGGAGAACCAAUGGUUCAAACAGCAACUCGUAGGAGAACUCACAAUGCCUCAAUGCAAUAGCUUCUCCUUCUCCAUGUUUCUAUUUACGCUGGCAACUCCCCUCAGGUGGGACAUCUACGCUCAAUGCCCUGCUGAUGUAAUCCAGCUGAUGUUAAAUUGCCCACCAGUUUUUAAUCCAUAACAGUCCUUGUCUCAAAAUAAAAUAUAAAAAGG